This 22-nucleotide microRNA is filed under the name Brugia malayi. Its description in RNAcentral is "bma-miR-5856b". The record is from miRBase by way of RNAcentral. Lineage: Eukaryota; Metazoa; Nematoda; Chromadorea; Rhabditida; Onchocercidae. RNAcentral also lists the same sequence under 1 other name.
AACUCCGUGUGUAGCAUUCGGU